This 575-nucleotide ribosomal RNA is filed under the name uncultured Verrucomicrobiota bacterium. RNAcentral's name for it is "bacterial SSU rRNA". It matches the Rfam family "Bacterial small subunit ribosomal RNA", at positions 1 to 576 of the family's 1533-position model. Lineage: Bacteria; Pseudomonadati; Verrucomicrobiota. The record is from RNAcentral.
GGAUCCAGACUUUGAUUCUGGCUCAGGACGAACGCUGGCGGCGUGCUUAACACAUGCAAGUCGAACGAGAAUCUAUGGAAGGAGGAUUCGUCCAAUUGAAAUAGAGGACAGUGGCGGACGGGUGAGUAACGCGUGAGGAACCUGCCUUUCAGAGGGGGACAACAGUUGGAAACGACUGCUAAUACCGCAUAACGCAUAGAGGUCGCAUGGCCUUUAUGCCAAAGAUUUAUCGCUGAAAGAUGGCCUCGCGUCUGAUUAGCUAGUUGGUGAGGUAACGGCCCACCAAGGCGACGAUCAGUAGCCGGACUGAGAGGUUGAACGGCCACAUUGGGACUGAGAUACGGCCCAGACUCCUACGGGAGGCAGCAGUGGGGAAUAUUGGGCAAUGGGCGCAAGCCUGACCCAGCAACGCCGCGUGAAGGAAGAAGGCUUUCGGGUUGUAAACUUCUUUUGUCAGGGACGAGCAGAAGACGGUACCUGACGAAUAAGCCACGGCUAACUACGUGCCAGCAGCCGCGGUAAUACGUAGGUGGCAAGCGUUGUCCGGAUUUACUGGGUGUAAAGGGCGUGUAGCC